CAACGCGGUGGCGCAUUGCAGAAUGGCGGCGGCAGCUGGAGCUUGCAGGGGCCGGAUCCAUGCGUGGUAGGGGCUGGGGAGGCAGACCCGGAGGCGGGCGGCAUGGCGGGAAUCGCCGGUGACGACGAGGAAGGCUGGAGCGCGCCUUCCCGGGUGGGUUCAUGGGAUCCACGGCUAUUGGGCAGAGAGGAGACAAGGAGGCGUGGGAGAGAAGAAGGGAGAAAGGAAGAGCGGUGUGGCGACCUAGGCAGGAGCUCGCCGGAGCCGGGCGAUGGCGGACGGGCGCGGGAGAUGGAGGGAUCCCAUGCAGCGGCUCGAAGUCCUUGCUCGUGGCGUCGACGGCUGGGCGUGCGACGACACAGAGCCCUCCCGUUGCUACGGCGUCCGGUGGAGUGCCCUGAGGGCGCGGAUGCUGCUGCUACACCAGCACCACCAGCCCAAGGUCAGCCUCCUCCACCUCGUUCUGUAGCGCUACUCCCGUCUCGCACCAUGCUGCCUUACUUAUGCCCCUUUGGAUUGGAGAGCAUGUGCUCUCAACUCUGCUGGGCCAGCUGUGCUCUGUUGCAUGCGAACAAGGGAGAAGAGUGAGCUUGUUGAUUCUUCUUACCUGUAGCUCCAACACGAAAGCCAGCCAAUCGACUCUUGAUAGCAGAACACAAGCAAUACAAGUAAACAGAAUUCUAAGACAGCCAAGGUGGAUGAUAGUAGCGGAAGUAAUUACUGAAGAAAUGUUUACGCAAAGAACAUUCAUUUUCACAUCACUUGGGUGCUGGUUCAGGCUGAUGUGUGCAUCUCCAAACGAAGAAGAAGCAGAUAUCCACUAAGAAGAAACUCAUCUGAGUUCUCAAGUUCAAAUCAAAUUGGCCAGCUACGUUUCAAAGUAUGAGAUGUGGUUGGGCUUGCAUCCCCUAUGCCAAGCCUACCGAGUUCACUAAAGCAACAAGCAGGGGAUCACCUUGAUGCAUAUCGCCAUCACAUUCAGACCCAAAGAUCUGGGAGCUGCAGUCUAGGCAUGAUUAACUGGGCAGUGCCAAAGUGAAGCUUCCGGAUGGUGGUGACAACAAUGGUGGCUGGAGGCGACGGGGCUAGCAGCGUUUCACGGUAGGGCGCGUGGCCAGUGCUUGUGGCGGUUGUGGAUGAUGAAGUACUGGACCUGCGAUGGACGACCAUCCGCAAGAUCUACAUCAUCAUCUUUGGGUCAGUUCGCCAUGAAGGCCAUUCUACGAACGAGGUAAAUAUGAGAUCCCUGAGUUUUGUGGCAGCACGGAGCCACGGAGCGUUUCUUCCCUACGUCACCCCUCCACACCUUAAUAAUAACUCAUUUGAAGGAGCCCACUCACACUCUUGCUAACGCCCAGCUGCAGCAAGAACGACGCCGGUGGCAAGCAGGAGCGAUGGGGAUACCAGCCGUCAAGAGCGACGAAGGAUGGCGGUGGUCGGUGUCCACAGGUGAUGCACGCCCUAACGCUGAGCAAGCCUCAGCAGGUGGCACAACCGCGUUGCCGACUUGCCGGUGAAGCAAAAAGAAUAAGGUUGAUGGGAAUGGGAAGAGGCUAGCAAUGGCAAAAGGGACAGAAAUAUUUUUAAAAUUUUAGUGGCAUUUUGAGAGAAUACCUAGCAAAGACAAAGGGAAGAGAGCUUUGGAUCGCAUAAGAGUAUUAGUGCUCAUUGUUAAGUGUGUAUAGAAUAUUAGAUUUUGCAUCAAAUUUUAUUAUGCUCUAAAGUUCAUCCCACCUUGAUUUUUUUCGCCCUCC
Molecule: non-coding RNA, 1754 nt
Organism: Triticum urartu
Lineage: Eukaryota; Viridiplantae; Streptophyta; Magnoliopsida; Poales; Poaceae
Source: RefSeq, a predicted model, not a curated record